RNAcentral lists this ribosomal RNA (497 nucleotides) under uncultured bacterium. RNAcentral describes it as "partial 16S ribosomal RNA". It matches the Rfam family "Bacterial small subunit ribosomal RNA", at positions 28 to 507 of the family's 1533-position model. The record is from RNAcentral.
GAUGAACGCUGGCGGCGUGCCUAAUACUUGCAAGUCGAGCGAACAGACGAGGAGCUUGCUCCUCUGACGUUAGCGGCGGACGGGUGAGUAACACGUGGAUAACCUACCUAUAAGACUGGGAUAACUUCGGGAAACCGGAGCUAAUACCGGAUAAUAUAUUGAACCGCAUGGUUCAAUAGUGAAAGACGGUUUUGCUGUCACUUAUAGAUGGAUCCGCGCCGCCUUAGCUAGUUGGUAAGGUAACGGCUUACCAAGGCAACGAUGCGUACCCGACCUGAGAGGGUGAUCGGCCACCCUGGAACUGAGAGACGGUCCAGACUCCUACGGGAGGGAGCAGUAGGGAAUCUUCCGCAAGGGGCGAAAGCCUGACGGAGCAACGCCGCGUGAGUGAUGAAGGUCUUAGGAUCGUAAAACUCUGUUAUUAGGGAAGAACAAAUGUGUAAGUAACUAUGCACGUCUUGACGGUACCUAAUCAGAAAGCCACGGCUAACUACGUG